This 547-nucleotide ribosomal RNA is filed under the name uncultured Glomus. RNAcentral describes it as "SSU rRNA". It matches the Rfam family "Eukaryotic small subunit ribosomal RNA", at positions 548 to 1098 of the family's 1831-position model. Lineage: Eukaryota; Fungi; Glomeromycota; Glomeromycetes; Glomerales; Glomeraceae. The record is from RNAcentral.
UUGGAGGGCAGUCUGGUGCCAGCAGCCGCGGUAAUUCCAGCUCCAAUAGCGUAUAUUAAAGUUGUUGCAGUUAAAAAGCUCGUAGUUGAAUUUCGGGAUCAAUUUAUUGGUCGUGCUAUUGUACGUACUGGUAUUAUUGAUUCCUACCUUCUGACGAACCAUGAUGUCAUUAAUUUGGUGUCAUGGGGAAUCAGGACUGUUACUUUGAAAAAAUUAGAGUGUUUAAAGCAGGCUCACGCUUGAAUACAUUAGCAUGGAAUAACGAAAUAGGACGUUUGAUUCUAUUUUGUUGGUUUCUAGGAUCGACGUAAUGAUUAAUAGGGAUAGUUGGGGGCAUUAGUAUUCAAUUGUCAGAGGUGAAAUUCUUGGAUUUAUUGAAGACUAACUACUGCGAAAGCAUUUGCCAAGGAUGUUUUCAUUAAUCAAGAACGAAAGUUAGGGGAUCGAAGACGAUCAGAUACCGUCGUAGUCUUGACCAUAAACUAUGCCGACUAGGGAUCGGAUGAUGUUAAUUUUUUAAUGACUCAUUCGGCGCCUUACGGGAAAC